GACGAACGCUGGCGGCGUGCUUAACACAUGCAAGUCGAACGGAAAGGCCCUGCUUUUGUGGGGUGCUCGAGUGGCGAACGGGUGAGUAACACGUGAGUAACCUGCCCUUGACUUUGGGAUAACUUCAGGAAACUGGGGCUAAUACCGGAUAGGAGCUCCUGCUGCAUGGUGGGGGUUGGAAAGUUUCGGCAGUUGGGGAUGGACUCGCGGCUUAUCAGCUUGUUGGUGGGGUAGUGGCUUACCAAGGCUUUGACGGGUAGCCGGCCUGAGAGGGUGACCGGCCACAUUGGGACUGAGAUACGGCCCAGACUCCUACGGGAGGCAGCAGUGGGGAAUAUUGCACAAUGGGCGGAAGCUUGAUGCAGCAACGCCGCGUGCGGGAUGACGGCCUUCGGGUUGUAAACCGCUUUCGCCUGUGACGAAGCGUGAGUGACGGUAAUGGGUAAAGAAGCACCGGCUAACUACGUG
This 468-nucleotide ribosomal RNA is filed under the name uncultured bacterium. RNAcentral's name for it is "partial 16S ribosomal RNA". It matches the Rfam family "Bacterial small subunit ribosomal RNA", at positions 28 to 507 of the family's 1533-position model. The record is from RNAcentral.